Molecule: small nucleolar RNA, 70 nt
Organism: Dermacentor silvarum
Lineage: Eukaryota; Metazoa; Arthropoda; Arachnida; Ixodida; Ixodidae
Product: small nucleolar RNA SNORD34
Exons: 1
Source: RefSeq, a predicted model, not a curated record
UGGAUUCCAUGAUGCCUUUUACCUACAUUGUUUGAUUAUCUGUGAUAUCAAAACUCUUACUGAGAAUCCU